RNAcentral lists this ribosomal RNA (254 nucleotides) under uncultured bacterium. Its description in RNAcentral is "partial 16S ribosomal RNA". It matches the Rfam family "Bacterial small subunit ribosomal RNA", at positions 524 to 776 of the family's 1533-position model. The record is from RNAcentral.
UACGUAGGGUCCAAGCGUUGUCCGGAUUUAUUGGGCGUAAAGAGCUCGUAGGCGGUUCGGUAAGUCGGAUGUGAAAACCCCAGGCUCAACCUGGGGACGCCAUUCGAUACUGCUGUGACUUGAGUUCGGUAGGGGAGCACGGAAUUCCUGGUGUAGCGGUGAAAUGCGCAGAUAUCAGGAGGAACACCGGUGGCGAAGGCGGGUCUCUGGGCCGAUACUGACGCUGAGGAGCGAAAGCGUGGGGAGCGAACAGG